CCUAUAAAACUCAUUAUUCCAUCCACAUCAACCUCACAAUAUUAAGGAAAAUUUCAAAGCACUCGAGCAAAAAAAUGGUUUCACCAUCAACUCUUGCCGUCCCAGAAACCUUUAAUGACCUUGACUGAGAUUUUUUUAUAACAACAAACUUUUUGUUAGGUGGAUUCAUUGUUGGGAAACCCGCAACUUCCAAAAGCCGAACUUAUUCAUGGGAAUUGAAUUGCUUUUCAUAGACUCAAAGGUAUUCUUACAAAUUUAAAUUAAUCUAAUCCAUAAUUUUAUUGUUAAU
Molecule: long non-coding RNA, 289 nt
Filed under: Brassica rapa (field mustard)
Lineage: Eukaryota; Viridiplantae; Streptophyta; Magnoliopsida; Brassicales; Brassicaceae
Description: long non-coding RNA (BRAP_LNC000696)
Source: RNAcentral